GACGAACGCUGGCGGCGCGCCUAACACAUGCAAGUCGAACGGAGAUAAGGAGGAGCUUGCUCCACCUUAUCUGAGUGGCGGACGGGUGAGUAACGCGUGAGUAACCUGCCUAUAAGUGGGGGAUAACAUCCGGAAACGGGUGCUAAUACCGCAUAAUAACCGACACCACAUGGUGUAAGUUUGAAAGAUGGCUCUGCUGUCACUUAUAGAUGACCUUGCGGUGCAUUAGCUAGUUGGUGGGGUAAUAGCCUACCAAGGCCAUGAUGCAUAGCCGACCUGAGAGGGUGAUCGGCCACAUUGGGACUGAGACACGGCCCAA
This 319-nucleotide ribosomal RNA is filed under the name uncultured bacterium. Its description in RNAcentral is "bacterial SSU rRNA". It matches the Rfam family "Bacterial small subunit ribosomal RNA", at positions 28 to 334 of the family's 1533-position model. The record is from RNAcentral.